Molecule: unclassified non-coding RNA, 433 nt
Filed under: uncultured Glomeromycotina
Lineage: Eukaryota; Fungi; Glomeromycota
Description: sequence contains 28S rRNA gene
Source: RNAcentral
AGAGUUAAACAGUACGUGAAAUUGCUGAAAGGGAAGCGAUUGAAACCAGUCGUGUCGCGUCGGAAAUCAGUCUACGGCCGAGCUUGCGGCGAGAAAGGGCGUGUGAAAAUCCAAAAAGCUCGCUCCCUCGUUGCUUGCGAGUGUCCACGUGGGUGCACUUUCCGACCGGCAGGCCAGAAUCAGUUUUUGAUGCGGGAAAAAGGCUCUUGGAAGGUGGCCUCCUCGGAGGUGUUAUAGACUUGGGCUUCCAUACCGCGUCGGGGACUGAGGUUCGCAGCUCAUGCCCUUCUUCGGUGGGGCGAACACACCUGGCGUCUGAUCGGGGCCGUGUGGCUGUCAGCUUGCUGACUGUCGCCCGGUCCAUUCCCUUUCACUGCGCUAGAGUCGUGAUUCCCUUGGGCUUGGGAUUCUGGCUUAAUGGUUUCAAACGACC